This 377-nucleotide unclassified non-coding RNA is filed under the name uncultured Parachlamydiaceae bacterium. Its description in RNAcentral is "contains 16S-23S intergenic spacer region". The record is from RNAcentral. Lineage: Bacteria; Pseudomonadati; Chlamydiota; Chlamydiia; Parachlamydiales; Parachlamydiaceae.
UCCUGGUUAACCCAGGCAGUCUCAUUAGAGUUCCCACCUUAUAUGUUGGCAACUAAUGAUAAGGGUUGCGCUCGUUGCGGGACUUAACCCAACACCUCACGGCACGAGCUGACGACAGCCAUGCAGCACCUGUGCACAGACUCCUAAGAGAAUUACCAUCUCUGGUAACGUCCUGUGCAUGUCAAGCCUGGGUAAGGUUCUUCGCGUUGCAUCGAAUUAAACCACAUGCUCCACUGCUUGUGCGGGUCCCCGUCAAUUCUUUUGAGUUUCAGCCUUGCGACUGUACUCCCCAGGCGGUAUACUUAUCGCGUUAGCUUCGGCACAGCCAGGGUUGAGUCCGGCUACACCAAGUAUACAUCGUUUACGGCAAGGACUAC